Neoarius graeffei (lesser salmon catfish) is the source of this 4050-nucleotide long non-coding RNA. RefSeq lists it as uncharacterized. The transcript has 3 exons. The record is from RefSeq and is a predicted model, not a curated record. NCBI's taxonomy places the organism in Eukaryota, Metazoa, Chordata, Actinopteri, Siluriformes, Ariidae.
UUGGUACAGCAGUUCCUUUCUUGUCGUGGGGUUCCAUUGAACCUUUCAGACCAAAGUCUGUGUAUGACUUGAGUAUUGGGGAAAGUGGAGUUACCCCUUAAUCACCGUUGCUCCCAGGUCCGCUCUGACCCAGAGUGGCAGCACCUGCCUGGGUUCCAGCUGUGGGUUAAAUAGUACAUCACCAAUAAGGUGCUGGCAGCAGGGUGCUUUUUGGUGCAAUGUGGCAGAUGAACCCAACAAGGUCAAUAGCAGACCACCAGAUGGCAUGCGGAAGAGCCACUCAAAUGGCCAGUGGAUGGCAUCACUCGGCAAGUCAGUGGUCACUGUGGGGCAACUUCAAUACCCGUCAGGUCUGUGGCACUUUUGUGCACCACUUGGUAUCAGGUCUGGAGGUCCAGAGACACAACAUGAUGGGGGCACGACAUCGUUUGUCUUAGCUUACCGUACAAGGCGCUUCUUUAGGAUAGGAGAAUAGUGUACGAGAGCUCACAAGGCCAGACAUUCCAUAGCGGCUCAGCCGGGCCAUUCAUGCUGCUGCUGCGGACGGCUCUGGUGCGGGCCUCGUGGUCCAUCUGCGUUUCUGUGCAUCCUAAUGAAGCAGUCAUCAUCGCUAGUAAUGGACAGCCGAUGCCGCCGCCGACAGACCAAAGUUUGUUUUCCCCUGGGAGUUAAUUUGUGCCUCCUUCCUGAAGGAUGUGGUGUCUGGAAGCUCCCAAGAGUUCGAUAUUUGCAUAUCAUAGUUUGUACAGAUACUCAUGGUACCUUCAGUUGUUUGGGAAGGAGGGACCAGACUUUUCGAGGUCCAUCAUUGUUUUUCUGAGGUCUUGGCCAAGUCACUUGGUUUUUCCUACAGUAUCAAGAGCCAAAAGGUGCCUGGCUCUAAAGGUAGGCUCUUACAUCCAGCCACGGGUGCACUCCCAAUGAACCCCUAAUCACAGCAAGGGGCAAAUCGGAAGCUUUUCAACAUUAAAUUACAUCCAUCUUUGCUUCAGAGAGACAGUGACCAUGGAGCAUUUAAACCUCUGACUCACUGGAAUUCUUAUAUAGUCAAUUAAACCUGAAAUGAACAAGUCUCUAAUUGACUGUGUUAAAAUGGCCUCGGACAUGAAAGGAGAUUUGACCCCAACUGACCGACCAAAAGAAACACUCGGUAACAUGAAACGUGGCGUUUUGAGAAAUUGGGACUGAAUAUCUUUAGCCUCCGUGUAAAUACUUGAUCUCAACUGUACAAUACAUCUGCAGUGCCCUCCACAAUUAUUGGCACCCCUUGUAAAGAUUCAGUGUGAGAUGUUAACAUAUUCAAAUGAGCAGAUUAAUAUAAACCAUUUUUAUUACUACUACUCUCAGAGCCAUGCUAUUACAGAAAAUUAAUCAACACUUCCAGAUUCGAGGAUUCGACACAUUAAAUGCUACACAAUAAUAACGUCAUUACAGGGGGACGAACGUACCUCUCCGUACUCCUCCAGCUCACCCUUCCCCUCCUCCAGGGUCACGUAAUCUCCGCUCUGUGUCAUAUGCAGAGACAGACGACCCUUCUUUGACCUCUUGUUGGGGUCUGCUACAGGGUCUUUGAAGACGUUUACCUGCAAAGAAAACACGAAGCAGAUUUUACUUGAUUAUACAUCAAAAUAUCUGAAUGCUGAUUAAGAGGUGGAGAUUUCUUCCUAUGCAAAUUUCUGCUCAGAAUGAUUUAGGUGGAUGUUUACGAGGGCUAUUCUUUUUUUUCCUCCCCUUUGUAAUAAGCUCUACGCUCCAACAAUCAGCCAUGCAGGCAUCCCGAGCUAAAAAUAAUCCAUUCAACUGCUUCAAAAGCUCGUUACAAGCCUAGAUGGGGCGGAGUCAAGGGACGGAGGGGAGCGUCUCUAAAAUGACUGACAAGAGCUCCAGCCAAACACAAACAAGGCUUCUGGACCUGAAAAUCGAGAGCGCAAGUUUCUUCCUGUAGACACUUGCAGGGGGACGUCAAAAGAUACGACUGCCUGUGUGACAUCACUUCCUGAUUGAAGACCUCUCAUCAGCAGGGAUAAAACUGAACUGAUCUACCCAAGAGCUGCACCUAUUCAUCACAAUCACCACCUUUACUGUCUGUACCCGGUUACUUCUUUACUUGCGGCGCUGCUCAGGCUCAUCACCUCCUGAAGCUCUCUCAUCUGACCCCUCUGAUGAGGUCACACCACCGGCUCUCUACUAAUGCAAGAAUCAAAAAUUGAAGCUCGUGUCGUCUUCAGACGUCACAUUCCACAGCAUUUACACACCCUGGCUCAGAUCCACACACCAUAAAGCAGAUACUAAGGAAUAACUACCACAACUGGAUCGCAGAAAAUAGCAGAACAGAACGGUGGAUUGAUAUCAGAGGAAACAUCUCGCAUGUUUAAAGCUGUAAUGGAUGACAGACUAGAAUUGGAUUUGGAAAAGAAAUUAAUUUUUGGAGCUGGAAAUGUUUACUUAUAAAGAGACUUUUUUCUUUUGUUAGGUGUGAGUUUUAUAUUUACUAUUGCAUACUAGAUACUAGAAAUCUCACCCCCAAUCCGUUCGUCACCACGUAGCUGCACUUGAAGGAGCAGUUAAGUAGAUCUCGGGUGAGUUUCUGCAGCAGCGCACCUCCUGAGCCAAACGUGAUGUUUUCGAUGCUCCACCUGUGCUCCUUCAUUCCCUCCACUAUCUACAGCAUCAUCAAAUACAAAACAAUGACCACCAGCUAACCCAAACACUGCUCACACUAGGUGUCCAGAAGCCUGAAGAAGAGGCCAUACCUCCUGCAGUGUAUUGAUGUCCACACCAUCACCCUGAAUGACCCGAAUGUAGGGAGGAAGCACCUUGUAGCCCUUAGAAUUCUCAACAGGAGGAAAUUUCUUGCCUAAAAUCUCCAAGACCUGUCGGAUAAGGCAGAUAAUAAUCAUCCGAGAUGCUUCACACACACACAAAUCAGAAAAAGUUGGGACGAGGACAAUUUAGGGCUAUUAAUGAGGUAAAACAAUUAAAUAAUAAUGUGAUUUAAAACAGGUAAUGUUUCAAAAUCGGUAUCCAGCAAAGGCCUAGUCUUUGAGGAGUAAAGAUGGGACGAGGAUCUCCAGUCUGUCAACAAAUGCGUAAGAGAAUUAUUGAAAUGUUCAAAAACAAUGUUCCUCAAAGAAAGAUAGGAAGGGAUUUGGAUAUUUCACCCUCUAUGAUGCAUAAUAUCAUUAAACAAUUCAAGGAAUCUGGAAGAACUUUGGUGCAUAAAGGGCAAAGGGCUCAAGCCUAAUCUGAACCCCUGUGAUCUCCGAUCCCUCACUGCAUCAAGAACCGUCAUUCAUCUACAGCUGACAGAACCUUAUGGGCUUGGGAUUACUUUGGAAAGCCUUUCUCAAGCUACAAUACAGAGUUACAUCCACAAACACCAGUUAAAACUUUAUUGUGCAAAAAGGAAGCCUUAUGUUAACUGCGUCCAGAAGCGCCUUCAACUUCUCUGGGCUCGGAGGCAUCUGGGAUGGACCACCACACAGUGUAAACAUGUAUCGUGGUCAGAUCAAUCAGUGUUCCAGGUCUUUUUAGGAAGAAAUGGAUGCCAUGUGCUCUGAAGACGAAAAGGACCAUCCAGACUGUUACCAGGAACAAGCCCAAAAGCCAGGGUGUGUCAGUGCCCUUGGCAAAUGUAACUUACACUUCUGUGAUUGUGCAUUAAUGCUGAAAAGUACACUGAGAUUCUGGAGUAACAUCUGCUGCCUUCAAAACAACAUCUUUUCCAGGGAGAUUUCAACAAGACAACGCAAAACCACAUUCUGCACAUUACAAAGGCGUGGCUGUGGAAGAAGAGGGCAUGUCCCCUCUGUCCCCAAUAGAGAAUGUGUGGGGAAUUUAGAAAUGAAAAAUAUGACCGUGAUGACCCUGUACUGUUGCAGAUCUUAAGACCUGUUUACAGGAAGAACGGGACAAAAUAACACCUGAACACACUUCAUUACUUGGUGUCUUCAGUCCCUAAGUGUUGUGAGAAAGAAUGGAAACAUUAUAAAAGUGAGAAAUACCUUUACUGUCACAACUUUUUUUAAAAAGGUGUUGAAACAAAACUGA